Molecule: ribosomal RNA, 1056 nt
Filed under: Lactobacillus delbrueckii subsp. bulgaricus
Lineage: Bacteria; Bacillati; Bacillota; Bacilli; Lactobacillales; Lactobacillaceae
Description: partial 23S ribosomal RNA
Rfam family: Bacterial large subunit ribosomal RNA
Source: RNAcentral
AGGCCUAUCAGUAUCCUGAGUAGGGCGGGACACGUGAAAUCCCGUUUGAAUCCGCGAGGACCAUCUCGCAAGGCUAAAUACUAACCAGUGACCGAUAGUGAACCAGUACCGUGAGGGAAAGGUGAAAAGAACCCCGGGAGGGGAGUGAAAGAGAACCUGAAACCGUGUGCCUACAAGUAGUCAGAGCCCGUUAACGGGUAAUGGCGUGCCUUUUGUAGAAUGAACCGGCGAGUUGCGUUAGUCAGCAAGGUUAAGUCAGAAAAGACGGAGCCGUAGCGAAAGCGAGUCUGAAGAGGGCGAGCAGUUGGCUGACGCAGACCCGAAACCAAGUGACCUACCCAUGACCAGGUUGAAGGCGCGGUAAAACGCGCUGGAGGACCGAACCCACGUAAGUUGAAAAUUGCGGGGAUGAGUUGUGGGUAGCGGUGAAAUUCCAAACGAACUUGGAGAUAGCUGGUUCUCUCCGAAAUAGCUUUAGGGCUAGCCUCGCAAAGAGGAUGCUGGAGGUAGAGCUCUGUUUGGACUAGGGGCCCGUCAAGGGUUACUGAAUUCAGAUAAACUGCGAAUUCCAGACAUUUAUGUGCGGGAGUCAGACUGCGAGUGAUAAGAUCCGUAGUCGAAAGGGAAACAGCCCAGAUCACCAGUUAAGGUCCCAAAAUUCAUGCUAAGUGGAAAAGGAUGUGGAGUUGCGCAGACAACUAGGACGUUGGCUCAGAAGCAGCCAUCAUUCAAAGAGUGCGUAAUAGCUCACUAGUCGAGUGACGCCGCGCCGAAAAUUUACCGGGGCUAAGCAUGAUACCGAAACUGUGGAUGUGCAUUUAUGCACGUGGUAGGAGAGCGUUCUAGCGGCGGUGAAGCAUGACCGAGAGGACAUGUGGAGCUUCUAGAAGUGAGAAUGCCGGUAUGAGUAACGAAAGACAGGUGAGAAUCCUGUCCGCCGCAAGACUAAGGUUUCCUGGGGCAGGCUCGUCCGCCCAGGGUAAGUCGGGACCUAAGGCGAGGCCGAGAGGCGUAGUCGAUGGACAACAGGUUGAAAUUCCUGUACUGCACCGAAUC